This is a non-coding RNA of Pelobates cultripes (western spadefoot toad), 158 nucleotides long. NCBI's taxonomy places the organism in Eukaryota, Metazoa, Chordata, Amphibia, Anura, Pelobatidae. The record is from the annotation of a GenBank genome assembly.
GCUGACACAUCCCUGCCAAUCUCCGGCAGACCCUCCCUCCCAGACCCUCCCACCUCCUGGACAGCAUCCAUGUUGAAGCUGCUUCAACAUGGAUGCUGUCCAGGAAGUAGGAGGGUCUGGGAGGGAGGGUCUGCUGGAGAUUGGCCAGGAUGUGUCAG